This 903-nucleotide ribosomal RNA is filed under the name uncultured bacterium. RNAcentral's name for it is "bacterial SSU rRNA". It matches the Rfam family "Bacterial small subunit ribosomal RNA", at positions 8 to 916 of the family's 1533-position model. The record is from RNAcentral.
AGAGUUUGAUCAUGGCUCAGGAUGAACGCUGGCGGCGUGCCUAAUACAUGCAAGUCGAACGAGGGCACUCCCGUAGCAAUACGAGGGUGUUCCUAGUGGCGAACGGGUGCGUAACACGUGGGUGACCUGCCCCGAAGUGAGGGACAACGCCGCGAAAGCGGCGCUAAUACCUCCUGUGAUCCAGGGAAACUAGACGGCCUUGGAUGAAAGGCGUAAGCCGCUUCGGGAGGGGCCUGCGGCCCAUCAGCUAGUUGGUAGGGUAAUGGCCUACCAAGGCGAUGACGGGUAGGGGACCUGAGAGGGUGGCCCCCCACACUGGCACUGAAACACGGGCCAGACACCUACGGGUGGCAGCAGUAGGGAAUAUUGCACAAUGGGCGAAAGCCUGAUGCAGCAACGCCGCGUGCGCGAUGAAGGCCUUCGGGUCGUAAAGCGCUUUUCGGGGGGAUGAGGAAGGACAGUACCCCCGGAAUAAGUCUCGGCUAACUACGUGCCAGCAGCCGCGGUAAAACGUAGGAGGCAAGCGUUAUCCGGAUUUACUGGGCGUAAAGCGCAUGUAGGCGGUCUGGCAAGUCGGACGUGAAAGCUCCUGGCUCAACUGGGAGAGGCCGUUCGAAACUACCAGACUCGAGGGCAGUAGAGGGAGGUGGAAUUCCGGGUGUAGCGGUGAAAUGCGUAGAUAUCCGGAGGAACACCAGUGGCGAAGGCGGCCUCCUGGACUGUCCCUGACGCUCAGAUGCGAAAGCUAGGGGAGCGAACGGGAUUAGAAACCCCGGUAGUCCUAGCUGUAAACGAUGCGGACUUGGUGUUGGUGGCUUUAACUCCAUCAGUGCCGUAGCUAACGCGUUAAGUCCGCCGCCUGGGGACUACGGCCGCAAGGCUAAAACUCAAAUGAAUUGACGG